AUGAACGCUGGCGGCGUGCCUAAUACAUGCAAGUCGAGCGAACGGACGAGAAGCUUGCUUCUCUGAUGUUAGCGGCGGACGGGUGAGUAACACGUGGAUAACCUGCCUAUAAGACUGGGAUAACUUCGGGAAACCGGAGCUAAUGCCGGAUAAUAUUUUGAACCGCAUGGUUCAAAAGUGAAAGACGUUCUUGCUGUCACUUAUAGAUGGAUCCGCGCUGCAUUAGCUAGUUGGUAAGGUAACGGCUUACCAAGGCAACGAUGCAUAGCCGACCUGAGAGGGUGAUCGGCCACACUGGAACUGAGACACGGUCCAGACUCCUACGGGAGGCAGCAGUAGGGAAUCUUCCGCAAUGGGCGAAAGCCUGACGGAGCAACGCCGCGUGAGUGAUGAAGGUCUUCGGAUCGUAAAACUCUGUUAUUAGGGAAGAACAUAUGUGUAAGUAACUGUGCACAUCUUGACGGUACCUAAUCAGAAAGCCACGGCUAACUACGUG
Molecule: ribosomal RNA, 496 nt
Filed under: uncultured bacterium
Lineage: Bacteria
Description: partial 16S ribosomal RNA
Rfam family: Bacterial small subunit ribosomal RNA
Source: RNAcentral